RNAcentral lists this ribosomal RNA (497 nucleotides) under uncultured bacterium. Its description in RNAcentral is "partial 16S ribosomal RNA". It matches the Rfam family "Bacterial small subunit ribosomal RNA", at positions 28 to 507 of the family's 1533-position model. The record is from RNAcentral.
GAUGAACGCUGGCGGCGUGCCUAAUACAUGCAAGUCGAGCGAACGGACGAGAAGCUUGCUUUUCUGAUGUUAGCGGCGGACGGGUGAGUAACACGUGGAUAACCUACCUAUAAGACUGGGAUAACUUCGGGAAACCGGAGCUAAUACCGGAUAAUAUUUUGAACCGCAUGGUUCAAAAGUGAAAGACGGUCUUGGUGUCACUUAUAGAUGGAUCCGGGCUGCAUUAGCUAGUUGGUAAGGUAACGGCUUACCAAGGCAACUAUGCAUAGCCGACCUGAGAGGGGGAUCGGCGACACUGGAACUGAGACACGGUCCAGACUCCUACGGGAGGCAGCAGUAGGGAAUCUUCCGCAAUGGGCGAAAGCCUGACGGAGCAACGCCGCGUGAGUGAUGAAGGUCUUCGGAUCGUAAAACUCUGUUAUUAGGGAAGAACAUAUGUGUAAGUAACUGUGCACAUCUUGACGGUACCUAAUCAGAAAGCAACGGCUAACUACGUG